CCCGCAACGAGCGCAACCCUUAUCCUUUGUUGCCAGCGGUCCGGCCGGGAACUCAAAGGAGACUGCCAGUGAUAAACUGGAGGAAGGUGGGGAUGACGUCAAGUCAUCAUGGCCCUUACAACCAGGGCUACACACGUGCUACAAUGGCGCAUACAAAGAGAAGCGACCUCGCGAGAGUAAGCGGACCUCAUAAAGUGCGUCGUAGUCCGGAUUGGAGUCUGCAACUCGACUCCAUGAAGUCGGAAUCGCUAGUAAUCGUGGAUCAGAAUGCCACGGUGAAUACGUU
Molecule: ribosomal RNA, 286 nt
Filed under: Citrobacter sp. July_KB1A7
Lineage: Bacteria; Pseudomonadati; Pseudomonadota; Gammaproteobacteria; Enterobacterales; Enterobacteriaceae
Description: partial 16S ribosomal RNA
Rfam family: Bacterial small subunit ribosomal RNA
Source: RNAcentral